Molecule: unclassified non-coding RNA, 252 nt
Filed under: Gymnostellatospora japonica
Lineage: Eukaryota; Fungi; Ascomycota; Leotiomycetes; Thelebolales; Pseudeurotiaceae
Description: partial internal transcribed spacer region
Rfam family: Eukaryotic small subunit ribosomal RNA (bases 1-46)
Source: RNAcentral
AAGUCGUAACAAGGUUUCCGUAGGUGAACCUGCGGAAGGAUCAUUAAAUGAAGUAACCUAGGAGCCUGAGAUAUGGCCACCGGGCACACCUUCCACCCUUUGUUUAUUACACUUUGUUGCUUUGGCAGGCCUGCCUUUGGGCUGCUGGCUCCGGCCGGCGAGCGCCUGCCAGAGGACCCAAACUCUGUUUGUCUGUAACGUCUGAGUACUAUAUAAUAGUUAAAACUUUCAACAACGGAUCUCUUGGUUCUG